GAUGAAGAACGCAGUGAAAUGCGAUAAGUAAUGUGAAUUGCAGAAUCCAGUGAAUCAUCGAAUCUUUGAACGCACAUUGCGCCCGCCAGCAUUCUGGCGGGCAUGCCUGUUCGAGCGUCAUUUCAACCCUCGACCUCCCUUUGGGGAAGUCGGCGUUGGGGACCGGCAGCACACCGCCGGCCCUGAAAUGGAGUGGCGGCCCGUCCGCGGCGACCUCUGCGUAGUAAACCAACUCGCACCGGAACCCCGACGUGGCCACGCCGUAAAACACCCAACUUCUGAACGUUGACCUCGAAUCAGGUAGGACUACCCGCUGAACUUUAGCAUAUCAAUAAGCGGAGGA
Molecule: unclassified non-coding RNA, 343 nt
Filed under: soil metagenome
Description: partial contains 5.8S ribosomal RNA, internal transcribed spacer 2, and large subunit ribosomal RNA
Rfam family: 5.8S ribosomal RNA (bases 1-120)
Source: RNAcentral